AAUACGAUAAUUCCAAAAUUGCUGUUAUUGCUCAUUAAUGUAUUUGGUGUGAUGCUUUAUGCAAUGCUUAGCUACUACAUUUGUCGUUGGCGUGCUUGGCCCCGUAAUUGCUGCUUGCAGCUAUAUUUAUUAUUAUUCUUCUUCUUCCACCCCAAGUCUAUGGUAGCCCAUAGAACCGAUUGCGGGAAAGUUGUAUAAUUUGGCACACUAAUAGAGGACUGUCUGAACAUUAACCGUAGCAAAUUUGAAGUCUCUAACUCAAACUCUCUAGCGCCACCAAUUGUCUAAACUUUCAAAAACUUGAUGCUAAUAACUCUUGAACCAUAAGCCACAAAAUGAAAAUUCUUUUUUCCUGUGAUUCCUUGGCUCAUGCCGAGUCGAAUGGACACCGAAAUUCAAAAAUCGCAAGGCUUAGUUUUUUCGCUAUCGUCAAUUGUUCGUAAAACCUACUUUUUCGAACUCGUCCUAGGCCGUUGCACCGAUUGUCACGAAAAUUGAAUCAGAUAAUCUUCAGACCAUGCUGGCAAAAAGUUAUGGAAUUCAAGUUGAUUUCUCAAACCGUUUCCGAAUAGCUCAUGAACGAAUUGUUCGAAAAGCACGCAAACGUGAACGUGAGGCUAUAUCUCCGCAACGGUUUGGCCUAUUGAGACCAAUCUUGGUGGGUCUUAUAACAACCAUUCCCUGGGACUACCUGCAGUGUUUCGGCGCUGUGCCCCCUAGUGGUCAGGAGAUAUGAAAAAUGCAUGUUUUUGCUCAUAACUUCUGAACGGUUUUGCCAAAAAUCACAAAAGUGGUGUCUUUAGAUUCAGUGCAUCAUUCUGAGUCGAAUGAUACCGAAUUUUCCCAAUUCGGCCAUUUUGGGCGUCGGCCAUUUUGAAUUUAGUUGUAAAUUGCUGUAUCUUAAGAAUGAAGUUCCGUAUCGUUUCGCAAAUAAUUACAAAAAUGUCCGGCUUUAUGCCCUGAAUGUACACAAAAAAAUUGGGGGCAGCGCCACCUUGUGGUCAAUAGUUAUAACGAUUUUUCGAAAAAAUGCUAAUAACUUUUGCAUACAUUAGCCUAUUGUAACAAAACUGAUGUUGAUAGAUUCCUUGGGUCAUGCCGAGAACACCGAUACCCCAUUUGUCAAUUUUGGCAAAAUUUCCUGUCCGCCAUUUUGAUUCAUGUUGAAAACCUACUUUUUCGAACUCCUCCUAGACCGUUGCUCAGAUUUUCACCAAAUUUGAUUUGGAUCAUCUUCAGACCAUGCUGGCAAAAAGUUAUGGAAUUUGUGUCGAUACACGUAACCGUUUUCAAUUAGCGUACCAACCAAUUUGCUGGAAAGAUGCCAAACUGCAUCUGAGGCUGUAUCUCUGCAAAGGUUGGAGAUAUUUACACAAAACUUAAUAUGUGACAUUGUCACAUCACAUUGACCACGCCACAUCAUUUUGGUCACAGCGCCACCUAUUGGUCAAGAGUAAUAAACCAAUCAAUAACCGCUAAUUAUUACAUUUCCAAUAAUGCUAAUAACUUUUGAUUGCAUUAGCCUAUUAUCAUGAAACAUGUCUCAAAAUGUUCCUUGGGACAUGCCGACAACAUACAUACUAAUUAUGUCAUAUUAAGCAAAACUUCCUGUCCGCCAUUUUGAUUCAUGUUGAAAACCUUUUUUUUUAAACUCAUCCUCAACCGUUUGUCUGAUUUUCACCAAAAUUGAAUCAGAUCAUCUUCAGACCGUGCUGACAAAAAGUUAUGGAUUUCGUGUCAAUAGACGAAACCGUUUUUGUACAGCGCUGCUUCAGAUGUCAGGCAUCUUCACAAAAUGAGUCUGAGGCUAUAUCUCUGCAAAGCCCAUUAGUGGUCUUCCAGUGACAUCUAGUGGUCGUAAAUGCAAUUUAUCAUACAACACUGUCUCUUUAACCUUUAUAACUGUUAUAUGUUGUCUUAAUUUCAUUCCAAAGAAGCAUACGCAAUUUAUGUAUAAUUUCACAGUCUAGAUAAUAGUACUGCACUGAUUUUAAAUAACCUAGAUAUGGCUGACAGUAAAAGAAUAGAACAUAAUUACAGACACACACAAACAUGAAAUGUUUAAACUAGUAUAUUAAUACUCAAUAAGCAUGCUUAAACCCACACACAGAUGCACACAUUUUGUUAUAUAUAUAGAUAAUUAAAAUAAAUGAUGGGUGAUAAAACCUAUUGCAAGUCUUCUGUUUUUAUGGGCUUCUAUGUCAUUUUUCAGGUUUCAUUGCAAUCAUAAUCUGGCAUAAUUAUAAACAUUAGAUAUAUCUGUAUGAAUAAAUUGGUAAACUUUGACUCAAUGUGAUCUGAAAUGCUUGAACAGUAAUAUUAAAUAAUAGUAAUAUACAUUUUUUCUAGAUGAAUCCCUCAACAAGCCCAUAAACUGUAAUGUUUUAGUCUUUAGUGAGCUCAUUAGUGGUCUUCCGGUGACAUCUAGUGGUUAUAAUUGCAAUUUUUUAUUCAACACUGGGUUUUGAAGCUUUAUAAAUAUUACAGUGUUCUUUUUUACCUAAUCUCUGUUAAAUUUUGCAUGAUUGUUUAGAAAAAAUACAGAUCUAAUGCAUGUGUGAUUAUAUUACCCCUUUUUUUUUGCAGUUUAAUGCCAUUCACAACAGAAAUCUUUUGUUUUUUAGGCCUGUUUAAAUGUUAUCUAACCAAAGGACAAAAUACAACAUAUUUUUUCAAAGUUAUUGAUCUAGAGAGUCCUGAGAAUAUUACUGCAGUGGUUUGAUCAAGACUGAACAAAAAACCAGGUGACCCAAAACAUUCAAAUUCGUGGACCAAUUUUACGAAAAAGGCUAUAACUCGGGAACAAAAUGAGAUAUCUUCACCAAACUCAGAACUCAUAUGCAUGAACAAAAACUUUAGUCAAAUUAUUAUUUUUUUUCCCAUAUCUGCCACUUGGUGGCGCUACAGGAUGAAAAAAAAUCAAAUGGCUAUAACUAAGCAACCGUUGAUCCAAUCAACUUGAAAAUUGAUAUGGCCCAAUGUGGCACAAGUGCUCUAUGAGGAAUUUCACUUAUCUUAAAAAACAUGGCCGCCAUUGGCCAAACAACUUUAAGCACCUAUUUGACAAGGUUAAUGGAAGUCGAUCGUAACGAAACUCGGUGGGCAUGUUCGACUCAUUGCCCUAAAGGUCUGUAAGUAUUUUGAAAGAAAUUGCCCACAACAUUGUCACCUCCCACAGAACACAACAAAGCGAUUUGAUUACAGCGCCACCUAUUUUCCAAAAAUGAUAAUGCAUCAUUUUACUGGAGUUUUACUGGCUGUUUCAAUUACACUCUUCCAAUAAUUGCUUUUCUUACUCGUUGCAUUUGGUCUGAUGCUCCAUGCCAUGCUUAGCUCCUCGCUGUGGAACCUUUAUUAACGAUUUUCAGCCAUUUCAAUUACAAUCAUGCAAUUAUUAAUUUCAUUAUUCAUUGUUGCAUUUGGUCUGAUGCUACAUAUGCUUAGCUCCUGAUGUUGCCGCUGGAAUGCUUGGCCCCGUGAUUGCUGCUUGCAGCUAUAUUUAGGGGCCAAGCACCGAAGGUGCGAAGGCACCUAUUGUGUUUGUUGGCGUUAUUAUUCUUCUUCUUCUUCCACCCCAAGUCUAUGGUAGCCCAUAGAACCGAUUGCGGGAAAGUUGUAUAAUUUGGCACACUAAUAGAGGACUGUCUGAACAUUAACCGUAGCAAAUUUGAAGUCUCUAACUCAAACUCUCUAGCGCCACCAAUUGUCUAAACUUUCAAAAACUUGAUGCUAAUAACUCUUGAACCGUAAGCCACAAAAUGAAAAUUCUUUUUUCCUGUGAUUCCUUGGCUCAUGCCGAGUCGAAUGGACACCGAAAUUCAAAAAUCGCAAGGCUUAGUUUUUUCGCUAUCGUCAAUUGUUCGUAAAACCUACUUUUUCGAACUCGUCCUAGGCCGUUGCACCGAUUGUCACGAAAAUUGAAUCAGAUAAUCUUCAGACCAUGCUGGCAAAAAGUUAUGGAAUUCAAGUUGAUUUCUCAAACCGUUUCCGAAUAGCUCAUGAACGAAUUCUUCGAAAAGCACGCAAACGUGAACGUGAGGCUAUAUCUCCGCAACGGUUUGGCCUAUUGAGACCAAUCUUGGUGGGUCUUAUAACAACCAUUCCCUGGGACUACCUGCAGUGUUUCGGCGCUGUGCCCCCUAGUGGUCAGGAGAUAUGAAAAAUGCAU
Molecule: long non-coding RNA, 4168 nt
Organism: Carassius gibelio (silver crucian carp)
Lineage: Eukaryota; Metazoa; Chordata; Actinopteri; Cypriniformes; Cyprinidae
Exons: 3
Source: RefSeq, a predicted model, not a curated record